AUAAUGAAAUGUUCUUAUCAGAGUUCCCGUUGUGGUGCAGUGGAAACAAAUCUGAUGAUGAACCAUGAGGUUGUGGGUUUGAUCCCUGGCCUUGCUCAGUGGGUUAAGGAUCUGGCGUUGCCAUGAGCUGUGGUAUAGGUUGCAGGUGAAGCUUGAAUCUCGCAUGGCUGUGGCUGUGGUAUAGGCCAGCAGCUGUAGCUUUGAUUCCAUCCCUAGCCUGGGAACCACUACAUACCUAGGGUGCGGCCCUAAAAAGCAAAAAAAAAAAAAAAAAAAAAAAAAAAAAAAAAUGUCCUUAUUGAAGCCUUUCUCACCUCCCUUAGAAAGUGUUACAUGUUUGCCUGAUCAUUUACCUUUAUUAUUAUUUUUUGGUUGUAUUCAUUCAUUUGUUUUAUUUUUAGAUUCUACAUAUAAAUUGAAACACAGUAUUUGUCUUUCUCUGUCUAACUUAUUUCACUGAGCAAAAUAUACUACAGGUCCAUCAAUGUUGUAAAUGGCAAAAUUUCACUCUUUUUUAUGGUUGAGUUCCAGGGAUGGAACCCACAACCUCAUGGUUCCUGGUUGGAUUCAUUAACCACUGAGCCACAACAGGAACUCUGAUUCCAUAUCUUCUUUAUCCAUUCAUCUGUUGAUGGAUGCCUUGGGUUGCUUCUAUAUCUUUGCUGUUGUAAACAAUGCUGCUAUGAACAUUGCAGUGCAUAUAUCUUUUUGAACUAGCAUUAUUUUCUUUGUAUGUAUAACCAGGAGUAGAAUUUCUAGAUCAUAUGGUACUUUUAUUUUUAAUUUUUUGUGGAAGUUCCAUACAGUUUUCCACAGUGGCUGUACCAAGUCACAUUCCCACCAACAGUGUAGAAGGGUUCCCUUUUCUUAAUAUUCUUGAGAACAUUUAUCAUAUCUUUCUUUCUUUCUUUUUUUUUUUUUUUUUUUUUUUGGCUGCACCCACAGCAUGUGGAAAUCCUGGACUGGGGGGUCUCGGGGAUUGAACUCACACCACAGCAGUGACUCAAGAUGCUGCAUGCUGCAGUGAUAAUGCUGGAUCCUAAACCCACUGUGCCAACAGAGAACUCCUAUUUUGAGUCUUUUUGAUGAUAGCCAUUCUGACAGGUGUGAGGUAAUGCCUCACUGGGGUCUUGAUUUGCAUUUCCCUCAUGAUUAGUGAUGUUGAGCAUCUUUUCAUGUCCCUGUUGGCCAUCUUCAUAUACCUUUAUACUAAGAUUUAACACACGUUAUUGACUGUCACCUCCAGAAACAACAUAUUCUAUCUCUAUCCUGUUAUCUAACAUAAUAGGCACAAGGUAGGCCUUAAGUAAAUGAGUAUAUGUAUAUGAAUGUGUUAACUUAAAUAAAUGGAUAAAUGAAUAGUUUCUUUCACACACAGAGAUGUCACUCAGAGAUGACCAUAUUCAGUUUGUCUUUUCUGUUCACAUGCAUAAAUAACACACUGACCUUAUCGGUAGAAAUCAUUCUAGCUCAUUUGGGAAGGAUUUUGUUGUGUUGGGUAGCUAUUGCCAGCAAAGAAGCAUUGGUGUGCUUGGAUAGACAGAAUUUAGUCUAAACUUCAGAAGUAAAGAUUGCUGAUGUUCAGCUAGCCACUGAAUUGAUGCUAUGAGCAGAAAAAUUAAAAGCAGCAAAGCAAUGGAAGCUUCAUGUCAGGGAACAGAAUAGUCAUGAGCCUAUCUUUGGCUUGAUCCUUAAUCAGAGACUUUGUAAAGUGGUUCUAGUAGUAGUCCCCCAGUUGUGAGUACAGUGACUGCAGGUAAAAAACAAAACAACAACAAAAACUUAACAGCAGUUAGAUAUUAUAAUUGCAACCACCUUGGAUUUUAAUCCCUUCACCAUUCUCCUUCAAUAUUUCCACUGUCACAUAUGGCUCAAGAAAUGAAGUCCUUUUAUAGUGGGUUUACGGAAAAUUAUCAGAUAAUAUCCAUAGAUAAGCAACACAUGAAUUUUUAAAGAUCAUUUCUAUUCUUAAUACUUUGUUUAAAAAAAUGACACCAACUUUCCUUGUCAUGAGUAUUAGUAUUUCAAAAUUGGGUUUGUUCAAACUAGUAAAUAAAUGAUAUAAUUGUGUUUCAUAUUUUGUUUGUUUCUAAGGCUAAAUAAUAAAUAAAUUCAGUAUAUCUGAAGUCUACUAGUGAAAGAUUUUGGACUGGCUGAGUGAAUAAAAAUCUGCUUUCAUUUUUUUCUUAUCUCUGCCCUCUAGCUUAAAUAAAUGAUGAAAUUAAGGUAAAUGAAACUAUUUGGUAAAGCCUAUAAUCUUUUGAGAAAAGAUCUUAGAGUUUAGUCUUUUCAACUUCCGGCCUGGCUCUUUGAGACUAUUGCCACUUUUCACAUGCCCCCUUUAAGUAGAGGAAAGGACAAAAAAAUGCAUGAGACAACUGUGAAGUAUUUUGCAAGAUUUUAAUAUUACUAGCAAACUUUCAUUCCCUUUGUUUAGUGGCCAGCUGUAGCUGACACAAAUAUAUAGUUGCUAGCUGCUAGCCUGCCUUGAGAGUGAGAUUUUAUAUGAAGAUGUAUUUAUGGCUAGUUUCUUUAUCUUUAUAUUGAAUAUAACACUUGCCAGUAUCUUUCAGCUUAUAAUUAUUUUGCUUCACAUCAAAGAACAACAUUAGAAAUCAAAGUCCAUUCAAUGUCAUGUGUGAUUCACAGCCUAUUUGCCGAUUUUAUAAAAGAUGCUUGUUUUUCUUUCUUUUCAACCCUCUUCCUCUUUUCCUUCUGUUCCUCUGCACCUGUCUACCCCCACUUCACAUUGUUUUAUUAUUUCAGUAUUAGUAAUAUAUACUAAUAUAUAUUAGAAAUAUAUAAAUGUCAGGAAAGAAAUUUUUUCCUGCCCAUCAGCCAGAUACACAAUCCAAGGAAACCUUAAUUUCUUGGCUCUUGGCAUCUAACUUUUACAGUUAGAUUGUUUGUGCUGAUGUCCUAGAGUGCUUGCUGAUUAAGGACAAUGUGGUUGGUACCAACAUGCCUUCACUUUCUUCUCCUUAGUGUGGAAUCCUAUAGCACUGUGGAACUUAUAAAUAAUUGAGUUAUUUUUAAACCACUGGAUGUUUUCCAGUCACUCUAUUUCACACUGGAUUAAUUAUGUAAGAAAACUGAAUUGUUCCUCACCAGUGUUACAACUUUUGAAAACAACAUGCUGUUUAAAUUCAACUUUGGCAACUGCAGCCCAAACCCCCUCAAAUUUAUGGCACCACACCCAUAGCAUAAUAAAACCUUUAGUGGUCCUUUGUCUUUUAGCUUGCCUUCUAUUUUUUUCUCAAGGGUGUUUUAGGCUGGAAGAUGCAAACAAAAGUUGUCCAGAUGUUAUUUGUAUCAGAGCAGGAUUUCAGUCCAGCUAUCUGUGGUUGCAAAUGUUUAUUUUAAUGGGUUAUUGUGCAAUCUUGCUGUGUAGACCUUCAUGGCCUUAUAUGCAUGUUCUCAGUGAUGCCAGGACAUUGUUUUUUAAAAGAUAUCAUUUUAGUCCAAUUGAAAGAUUACUAGUCACUAGGGGAGCAAAAAAAUGUAACACCUGUAGAAACACAAGGAUGUUUUUGCCGAUGCCCCCAUUUUGACACUGCGCAAACUGCCUGAUUAUGAAACAAUGACCAAUGUGCUUUAGGUAAGCAGGAGGGAGGAAGGUGUGGUCCAUGCCCUAGCAACAGUCCAGGCCCGAGACAGUUACUCAGUUACAGGGCUGCAGUAAACAUAGCAAAGGGGCUGGGAAAAAAAAAAAAAAAAGCCAGCUGCUGCCCCAUGCCGUUUGAUGGAAUGAAAGAGGCGCUCAGCUAAGUCACUGUAGUGUGAGCUGAGAGUUUAUUUUAGCUCUUAUAACAAGCGUGGAGCUGGACUUAUUAUUCAUUUUUAGAAUUCUAAUAAAAUCUUAACUGGUAUUUCAUUGAUACUAAAGUAAAUUGUUUACCCUGUAUCUAAAAACACGUAUUAUGUCCAAUGUACCAAUUAGAAGUGAGGAAAUUCUAGUCCUUAAAAUAAAUGUUGAAACUAAAUUACCUCAUAUGAAAAUGGAUUUGGUUUUUGAGAAAGUGCUAAAUUGGAGCUAUUAGUUUUCACUGAGAAUUUAUUCCAAAUCAAAAGAUGCUUCUAGUACAUAUGCGAAAGACACGUUCUCUGCU
RNAcentral lists this long non-coding RNA (4109 nucleotides) under Sus scrofa (pig). RNAcentral describes it as "lncRNA (ENSSSCG00000053840.1)". The record is from RNAcentral. Lineage: Eukaryota; Metazoa; Chordata; Mammalia; Artiodactyla; Suidae.